This is a non-coding RNA of Heterocephalus glaber (naked mole-rat), 3766 nucleotides long. NCBI's taxonomy places the organism in Eukaryota, Metazoa, Chordata, Mammalia, Rodentia, Bathyergidae. The record is from RefSeq and is a predicted model, not a curated record.
AACAAAACAUAACAAAAACCAAAAACGUAGAAAGCACCUCUAGAAGGAGACUCCAGCACCCAGAACCCAGUGACACCUCAUCUACCAUCUGUCCCGCCAAAGGGUCGUGCAGGGCCCAUCAGUGCCCAGGUCCCCACCCCACCCUUCUUGCUGUGACCUCCCCGCUGCACUCCCACCUCCUCUCUCCACCACCACCUUCCUCCUGGCUGUAAUUGGUCUCGUCUCCUUCUGCACACAACACAGAGGUGGCAUGGGGGUGGCAGGAAGGCCCUGGUGAGCACUGGCCCUGCAUCUGGACCAUCACUGCCACUGGCCACUCCCUCACUGUCACCAUCCUGGUCCUCCUGUGUGGCCACGCCAUUGUGACAGUCGGGGGAGAGGGUGUGCCGUGGGCUGGCGAAGCAUGGCUGGUCCUGGUGUGGGUGCAGGGAUUCUCUGGAGUCAGCUUCGCAGUGUUCCUAGGGCCUGAUGGGAUGGUGGCAUCCAUGUGGACACUGAGCCUGCCGCCUCUGAAGGAACAGUGCCCAUGGCCACACAAAUGGCCCUGGGACCAUGCCCAGGGUCUGCCUUGGCCACCCUGCCCCUCCCUGCUGCUCAUCUCCCAAACUUGGGCCAGGCGACGCUGGCUCCAGCCCAGGGCCAUGGUUCGGAGCUCUUGGGGAACGGUCAAGCCCACAGCCACAGUCGGGGGAUUGUGUUCAGGGUGUGAUGCAGCCGUACCGUGUGAAGCUUGUUAAUCUAUGUGAAGCUUUUGUUCUCCUUUCCUCCCAGGCCAGGAGCUGAGCACCCUCCCUGUCCCACAACCCCAAUCCAAGUUGGGAACGGCAGGACUGGUCUUGCAGGGGUCACCACGAAGCCACCACCAGGCUGGUCUCCCGGUGUUUCUUGGGGGACAGCAGCUCUCCUAGACAAGCGCAGGGUGCUGGGGACACAAGGCAGCCGAGGGACUUGGAUUCAUGUCAGUGACUAUUCGGGGAAAGAAGGGAAGGUUUAGAGGCCAGAGCAGGAGCCCGAGGCUCUGCAACCCUGAGGCCUGCAGUGUUCCCAUCCUCAGCUCAGCAGGCAUGCUGGGGGUUGGGGGCGUGGGUGGCCUGUGGAGGUGAACUCAGAAUCUUUGAGGGCCAAAGCCUGUGUUCACCCCACCACACCCUAGUCUUCUUGCAUUCCCUCUUUUUUAGGUGUUUUUGUUUUCUUUUUUUUUUCAGUACUGGAGAUUGAACCUAGGGCCUUUGCCUGAGCUAAAUCCCCAGGGGUUUUUUCGUUUCCUUUUUGGUACCCGGAAUCAGGCACCUUGCGCUUGCUUGGCAGGCACGGUGCCACUGAGCUAAUCUCCAGCCCUUUUUAUUUUUUACUUUGAGACAGGAUCUUGCUACUUUGUCCAGUUAGGGUGGGUUUGAACUUCCAGUCCUCCCUCAGCCUCCCAAAUGCUGGGAUUACAACAUGAACCACCAUGCCUGGCUCUAGCCUUCUCUUUUAGGGGGCUUACACUUACUCAGUACACCAAAAUAAUGUGAUGGCAGAAACCACAAUAGAUUUUUUCUUUCUUUUUUUUCUUAAUUGGAAACAAGAUCUAGCCUUGGCUAGCCUCAAACUCCUCCUGCUUCAGCCUCCCAAUUGCUAAGCCCAGCAACUGUGCAUUUCCCCCCAUACCCAGAAGACACUUUCUCCAAGGUGAGUUGGGUUGUCCCUUCUUUAGGGAGGGCCCUCUAGGGAGUAGCAUUGAUAGAGAAAAGAACAAACCCAUCUGUCACCUACAUGUCACAAAUGUGCAACAUAGGACAGAGAAGAGCCCUUCCUGGUGGUUCCCUCUUUGUGUGCAUUUUUUUAUCAUCUACCGGACUUGACAAGUGUGGCAUCUGCAUUACCUUUAGUAUUUGGGGUAGCAUUUUAUCCCCACACCCAGAACUAAAGUGCCCAGCUUGAGGGUGAUUCUGGCAGGCACAAGGAGCCCUGUGGUCCCACUGGUCCCACAAAGAGGGCUGAUGUCAUAAACACAGAGCACAGGGGAGCCCCUGUGUUCCAGCCAGCAGAGGCCAUGGGCUGCAGGAACAGGAAGGACAGUGGGUUCUGCCGAGGUGGGAGGCUGACUUUGAAGAGCCCACUGGCUUUAUGGGAUCCACAUAGCCCUGGCUGGAGCUUGAGGCCACAUGUGACCUUGCAUGAGUGGCCAGGAGCUCACUUCCAGAUGGCGUGUCCUCCCCAGGGCUCCAGGGUGAAGCUUUUCCUGGCACCUCCUGUACCACGAACUUAGCCCUAAAGUCCUCUGCAGAUGCCUUUGUAACCUGCUCCCUCCUUCUGUCGGAGGGGACAGGACAGGCGCAGUGGGGACAGGGGUGGUCUAAGAGCAAAGAGGAAGCUCCCGCUUGCUGCUUUCCGGAAGAGCCCCAGAGGGAUGAAGCAGAGGCUUUUCUGAGGCCUGUGGCCUGUGCUUCAGAAGAGUGCAGGACGUGAGAAUUGGAGACUCGAGUUCCAGCCUUCAGGGCUUUUCUGUUUCCUUGGGGACUUUUCUCAAGCCCAAUCUUUAGCUCAUCUAGGUCCUGGUCUUUACUUUGCUCCGUGUAUUUCAUGAGUUUAUUCGGGCCCUAACCCACUGAUCUUCCCUUUUGGCUGCUGGUCUCACUAUGGGGGAGGUGGAUGAGGAGCCCUCAGGAUCACAGACUUAAGACCGUGAGUAAAUCCACAGAAAAAGCAAAAAGAAAAAUUCUUUUCAACAUAAAAUGAUUAAUUUUUUUUGUUUUUUUGAGACAGGGUCUCAUUAUGUCGUCUAGGCUGGCCUCAAACUCAUGGCGAGCCUCCUGCCUCAGCCUCCUGAGUGCUAGAAUAUAGACGUGCACCACCACCACGCCUGGCUUGGAAAAAACCUGCUUCCCGGUGCCUCAGAAUGUGCCUGUGUUGGAGUUAAAGAGAUUGUUCACCACCAUGGCAUUCCUUAACCACAAUGUACGAGGUCUUUUCCUGUUGCUAGUAACACAAUACCAGAAUAGGCUUUCACAUAAGGACAAGCGAGGAGCCCAACUGGAAGAAGAUGGAAGACAGAAAGACUGCACAGGCAGCUCACCCUGGAGAGCUGGGCUCUCUCUUCCCCUACACUUCGCAUCAUAAAGUGAAAUAAAGACUUAGUUGCCUGGCCUGGUAGGGCAGGCCUGUACUCCCAGCAUUCAGCCUGAAGCAGGAGGAGCCUGGUCUCCUUCUGUACCCCAGGAUGGCCUUGAACUCGAGGCUAUCCUCCUGCCUCAGCAUCCAGAAUGCAGAGAUUGCAGAUGCGUGCCACCACACCCCGCGGCCAGAGAAGUGGUCUCUAGCCUGAGGCGAUCAGCAGCCCCUACAGAGAACAAGAGCCACCCAGAGUGGGGGCAUCAGAGCCCCGAGACUUGGCUAGAACCUUCCCUGGACAGAAUCUUCGUUCUGUGUGGGGAGGGAGGUUGAGACAACAGGCACUAAGGUAGGCACACGGAGGAGCACCCGGGCCCUGCUAUUCAGGAACAAAAGGACAUGCAGCACAAACUUGGGCCCUCAGUGCCCUUAGUAUUGUACAUAGGUAAGUUAAUUAGUUAUCUUGUAGGCAGUUAGACAGGAGCCACCCUCACGGAGCCAACACAGCGAGGAGCCAACAUGGAGGACAACUGAGGCACAUUAACUGGUUAGCAUUAUAAAGAGAAGAGAAGUGGGCCGGGGAUUUAGCUCAGUGGUUCUGCCUCCUGCCCCGCAAGUGCAAGGAUCAGACUUUGAUCCCCGGUACCAAAAAAAAAAAAAAAAAAAAAAAAAA